AUUUACUUAUAUUCACUUUAAAAAUUAUUACUUAUAAGCAACUCAAUCUUCAUUUCGUACUAAGUAAACCCUUAAACUAUGUCAUCUCUAUGGUAGGUACUGGGAAUAAAAAUAGAACAGCUAAUUAAAUUAUUAGUGCUAUUUCUGUUUUCCAGAACUCUUCAUGGAGUAUUUUAUUUGAUUCUUAGAGCACCUUAGAGGCAACGCUAUUUUCAUUUUAUAGGAUGAAGCUGAGGCACAGAGAGGUUAAGGAAAGCUGAAGUUCCACCUUUUGGAGUUUACGGGAGUUUCACGCGUCCGGCCCGCAGGGAGUGCUGUCCGAGCGCCGGCCGCGACUGCUGCUCUACCCCGGGGACCCAGCCAGCACUGUAACUCACAACUGAAGGAAGCUCCUCUUACCCAUGUUUCCUCCAUAAGACACAUCACAGCUUCUCCAGCUUAAAAGCACCCCACAGCACUUCAGCGCUAUGCUUGGGGCCACUGUAAACAGCAGAGUUGCCAAUAAAAAACACAACAGUGAAAACCAUGGCA
Vicugna pacos (alpaca) is the source of this 531-nucleotide non-coding RNA. The record is from RefSeq and is a predicted model, not a curated record. NCBI's taxonomy places the organism in Eukaryota, Metazoa, Chordata, Mammalia, Artiodactyla, Camelidae.